AGUGCGAAUGCUGACAUAAGUAACGAUAAAGCGGGUGAAAAGCCCGCUCGCCGGAAGACCAAGGGUUCCUGUCCAACGUUAAUCGGGGCAGGGUGAGUCGACCCCUAAGGCGAGGCCGAAAGGCGUAGUCGAUGGGAAACAGGUUAAUAUUCCUGUACUUGGUGUUACUGCGAAGGGGGGACGGAGAAGGCUAUGUUGGCCGGGCGACGGUUGUCCCGGUUUAAGCGUGUAGGCUGGUUUUCCAGGCAAAUCCGGAAAAUCAAGGCUGAGGCGUGAUGACGAGGCACUACGGUGCUGAAGCAACAAAUGCCCUGCUUCCAGGAAAAGCCUCUAAGCAUCAGGUAACAUCAAAUCGUACCCCAAACCGACACAGGUGGUCAGGUAGAGAAUACCAAGGCGCUUGAGAGAACUCGGGUGAAGGAACUAGGCAAAAUGGUGCCGUAACUUCGGGAGAAGGCACGCUGAUAUGUAGGUGAAGUCCCUCGCGGAUGGAGCUGAAAUCAGUCGAAGAUACCAGCUGGCUGCAACUGUUUAUUAAAAACACAGCACUGUGCAAACACGAAAGUGGACGUAUACGGUGUGACGCCUGCCCGGUGCCGGAAGGUUAAUUGAUGGGGUCAGCGCAAGCGAAGCUCUUGAUCGAAGCCCCGGUAAACGGCGGCCGUAACUAUAACGGUCCUAAGGUAGCGAAAUUCCUUGUCGGGUAAGUUCCGACCUGCACGAAUGGCGUAAUGAUGGCCAGGCUGUCUCCACCCGAGACUCAGUGAAAUUGAACUCGCUGUGAAGAUGCAGUGUACCCGCGGCAAGACGGAAAGACCCCGUGAACCUUUACUAUAGCUUGACACUGAACAUUGAGCCUUGAUGUGUAGGAUAGGUGGGAGGCUUUGAAGUGUGGACGCCAGUCUGCAUGGAGCCGACCUUGAAAUACCACCCUUUAAUGUUUGAUGUUCUAACGUGGACCCGUGAUCCGGGUUGCGGACAGUGUCUGGUGGGUAGUUUGACUGGGGCGGUCUCCUCCUAAAGAGUAACGGAGGAGCACGAAGGUUGGCUAAUCCUGGUCGGACAUCAGGAGGUUAGUGCAAUGGCAUAAGCCAGCUUGACUGCGAGCGUGACGGCGCGAGCAGGUGCGAAAGCAGGUCAUAGUGAUCCGGUGGUUCUGAAUGGAAGGGCCAUCGCUCAACGGAUAAAAGGUACUCCGGGGAUAACAGGCUGAUACCGCCCAAGAGUUCAUAUCGACGGCGGUGUUUGGCACCUCGAUGUCGGCUCAUCACAUCCUGGGGCUGAAGUAGGUCCCAAGGGUAUGGCUGUUCGCCAUUUAAAGUGGUACGCGAGCUGGGUUUAGAACGUCGUGAGACAGUUCGGUCCCUAUCUGCCGUGGGCGCUGGAGAACUGAGGGGGGCUGCUCCUAGUACGAGAGGACCGGAGUGGACGCAUCACUGGUGUUCGGGUUGUCAUGCCAAUGGCACUGCCCGGUAGCUAAAUGCGGAAGAGAUAAGUGCUGAAAGCAUCUAAGCACGAAACUUGCCCCGAGAUGAGUUCUCCCUGACCCUUUAAGGGUCCUGAAGGAACGUUGAAGACGACGACGUUGAUAGGCCGGGUGUGUAAGCGCAGCGAUGCGUUGAGCUAACCGGUACUAAUGAACCGUGAGGCUUAACCUU
RNAcentral lists this ribosomal RNA (1658 nucleotides) under Escherichia coli. Its description in RNAcentral is "partial 23S ribosomal RNA". It matches the Rfam family "Bacterial large subunit ribosomal RNA", at positions 1287 to 2925 of the family's 2925-position model. Lineage: Bacteria; Pseudomonadati; Pseudomonadota; Gammaproteobacteria; Enterobacterales; Enterobacteriaceae. The record is from RNAcentral.